AAGUCGUAACAAGGUAACCGUAGGUGAACCUGCGGUUGGAUCAUUAGUGGUUUUUUGGCAGCGCUGUUGUAGUGUAUGGUGGAGGUGUUGGGGUUUGGUUUGGGUUUGGUGUUUGUUGGUUGUGUGUUGCCUGGCCUUGGUCUUGGCACAGCAACGGACGACGGCACACUCGGACCAGACCCAACAGACCUCGCCAGAUAGACGUCUUUGCUUGCUUUGAUGAAACCAAAUCAAAAACAACUUUUGACAACGGAUCUCUUGGCUCUC
RNAcentral lists this unclassified non-coding RNA (267 nucleotides) under fungal sp. Its description in RNAcentral is "partial internal transcribed spacer region". The stretch from base 1 to 46 matches the Rfam family "Eukaryotic small subunit ribosomal RNA", at positions 1786 to 1831 of the family's 1831-position model. Lineage: Eukaryota; Fungi. The record is from RNAcentral.